Molecule: non-coding RNA, 606 nt
Organism: Mus caroli (Ryukyu mouse)
Lineage: Eukaryota; Metazoa; Chordata; Mammalia; Rodentia; Muridae
Source: RefSeq, a predicted model, not a curated record
GGAAGAGAUACCUCAGCAUGGGCCCGCAGAGGACACUACGCCUUGGCUUUUUGUGGGGCCAUGGCACCGGGUGUAGUCUAGACCUGCUCUGAGAGACUGGAGGAGGCUGCUGAUGUUGUAGAUGACACAAGACGCAGCUGCUGAGCAACCCUUCUGUGCUUAGCAGAGAAAACUCCCAGGCGGCUGAGGCAUCCGUCUUCGUGACUCACUGCAGACGCUGCCUCUUUUGGAAGGAAACGAGGAACAAUUUCUCUGAACUCCAGUAAAAGUUUUCAGACCUUUGAAAUUGUAUUGGUGACCUAUUAUUUUAUGGCUUUGCAUGGCUUUCUUGAUUGGCAACUUGAGCCCGAUUUAAGAAGAGGAUCCAGCCACCACUGCUAAUUAGCAGGAAAGGUGGAAGCUGGAGCUGCUGACAUCUGAAGGCAGCAGUGUGGUUAGGCAACCUUUCUGAAGUGGCUGCUCCCAUGGCGGAGCACAAGAGGCUGCAGUUCCAAGAUGGCUCUUAGCGGAAAGUCAUCGUCUCCUACAGUGGGAGUCACUUCCCGAGGCUGCUUCAGUUCCCAGGUUACAAGGCCAAGGCAGAGAAAAUCUCCCACAUAUAAUAAA